AUGAUUGAUAUUUUUGGCGCAAUUUUGUGCAACACGUCACUGUGUGCGACCAUCGCAGAAACCAUUGCCCAGCGCGAUUCCACCACGGUAAGUCGCUUACAACAGUCUAAUAAGCAAGAUAAAUGCUUAUUGAGGGAUUAUUGGGGGAAUGGUUAUUGGGGGAUAUAUAUAUAUAUACUGUAUAUAUGCAUUAUAUACAUAUAUAAAGUGUAUACAAGAACCCUGAUCAUGUUAUUCCUGAUUGUUUAUCCAUUUGAAUUAAGGCAGAACCAGGAUGUGUUCAAAAUAUCAUGAUAGAACCCUUGCUCACACAAUGACUUCUUUUUAAAAUCAUUAAUUUUUAUAUGAUAUUGUGAUUGCAUGAAUGAACAAGAGCAGCAUUUACUUAACUUCUUAGCCUAGUAGUUAUUCAUAUUGUAAUAUGUAGUUUGGUGAUCUAUUAUUUUUUUAUUUGUUCUUCUCUUUCUCUGCAGGUUCCUUAAUCCCUGUCCCUUUAAAAAAAACAGCACCUCAUUACAUCAAAAAAGGCACUUUUAAGAGCCACAUUUGUUUUGUUUAUUGUCUUAUUUGUAUUGUUUAUUGUCUUGUUAUCUCAGUCUCUCUCUCUCUCUCUCUCUCUCACUCUCUCUCCAUCCCUCUCCCUCUCUCUCUCUCUCUCUCUCUCUCUCUCACUCUCUUUCCAUCCCUCUCUCCCUCUCUCUCUCCCCUACCAUCUGAGUGGUGGUUGCUUUUUAGAGGGACGGAGGACCUGGGUUGCUGCCUCUUCUUCACUCAUUGUAAUUAACUGAAAGUGUAAAGGUCGGGAUCAAAGAAUAUAGAUUCAUUUGUUGGUGUUGUUUUAAGCGCACAAUAUACCAAUUUAAUGGAUAGAGACUGGCAUAUAAUACCUGGUUAUUGCACCAAAUGAAAUUUGCAGGAGUCUGCACAAUAUAGGCCAACCUAUAAGAUAAAAAUUGCUGUUGGCAUGAAGUCUAAGUAAAUCAAACUUAAGUUUUGUGAGGAAUGCCAGUAUUCAAAGAUGGUUUAUGACUACAGGAAAGCAAACAGCUCGCUUGGCGACUUUAUGUUUCAGGAUUUUUCUGCACUUAAAUAAUUUGCCAGCUUGCAAACAUCCAGAUCUAGUAUUACCUUUGAUAAUGUUAGAAAAGUGAUACGUUAAGCAUAACCUGCUGCUGUAUGACACAUGCUAAAAGAUUGACUAGCUCUGUCUUUCUUGUACUUAUGUGUGUUCGGAUCCCUGUAUGAUAUUUAAUAUUUAUAUUUUUUGUAUGUGUGUACACUUCAGAAUGACAAAGCCAAAAUUCAGGCCUUGCCCAAGCUGCCAAGUCCGUCAGCAGGCCAACCGCAAAAACAUGCAGUGCUUGUUUUGCCACACUGCCAAGCAAGCGGUUAUUAAAAACUGCAAAAAUUAAUGAUGACUGGGGCCAGAGGGUCGUCAAAAACAAAAAUGCAUCUCGGGUGGUGGCCUCUGCCCAAAUAGCUGUAAGUAAAAAUGCUCAUGCUUCAUUAAUUGAGUGGUAAUCAAUAUUAAGCCCAAAGAACAUACAGUAUUUGGUACCAUGUUUGUUGAUGGACAUAGCAGCCAUGCUGUGUGCUGUGUACCAGGCUUCACAUGCGUGCCUGGAUGUUGGAAGUUGGCACAUCUUGUCAGUAUGAAAUUUUAGACAGAC
Molecule: long non-coding RNA, 1670 nt
Organism: Cyprinus carpio carpio
Lineage: Eukaryota; Metazoa; Chordata; Actinopteri; Cypriniformes; Cyprinidae
Source: Ensembl